This 731-nucleotide long non-coding RNA is filed under the name Rosa chinensis. RNAcentral describes it as "sRNA RchiOBHm_Chr6g0302921". The stretch from base 118 to 211 matches the Rfam family "Small nucleolar RNA Z161/Z228". Lineage: Eukaryota; Viridiplantae; Streptophyta; Magnoliopsida; Rosales; Rosaceae. The record is from RNAcentral.
UUAUAAUGGUAUCGGCGGAGCCUUGGCUUCUUCAUCCAGAGCCACCAGUAGUCUUCUUCUUCUCCGUUCUUCUCUCUCUCUCUCUCACUCUCUUGGUUUUCGUUGUGAAAAUUGUGUGAAUCAGAUGAUGAAUUUGGAUUAAUCAUCUCACGACGGUCGUCUGAGACACUUUUGUGUGUCGACGCUGAAACGAUCCAAGCUUCUGAUGGUUUCGGAUUUUGCCUUUGUUUUUGAGCUUUCGAUUCCUCUUUCUUGUUCAUCGAUUUAGUGUGCGGCAGCAUAAUGAGGAUUGUAUUUGUCCGACUAAUUCAUGAACGGAUUACAUAACCUCCUACUCAUUCUGAAUGCUUGUUCGCCGUAGCUUUUCCUUCUUCUUUUUCUUUUUAUUUUUUUUGGUUUUUUUUUUUGUUCUACCACUGAAAGAAAGAGGCACAAUGAGGAUCCAAUUUGUAGUGGUAUUCAUGAGAUUUAAAGAUCGGUGAUAUCAAAAUCAUUAGUCCUUUUCAUUCUGAGUGCCUCUGUUUUUUUAUCUUUUAUAAUAAUAGGUUUUGGUGCUGAUUUCUUCGACUUUGCAUUUCAAUUCGACUUAUAAUAAUAGCUUUUAUAACAGCUGUAGUAUUCAAUUCGACUUAUUUUCCGACAGGGUUGACGAACAGCAUGGUCGGGCUUGAUUUGUAGAUGCUUGCAUUGCCUAUUGUAGACAGAUACAUCUGUUUUAUGGUCAAUUUUCG